Molecule: long non-coding RNA, 343 nt
Filed under: Marmota monax (woodchuck)
Lineage: Eukaryota; Metazoa; Chordata; Mammalia; Rodentia; Sciuridae
Source: RNAcentral
GUUCCUGAAGGGUCUGUCAUUCCCAGAGGAAACGUUCUUUUCACAGUGGAAAACACUGAUCCAGAGUGCUACUGGCUUACAAAUUGGAUUGAGACUAUUCUUGUGCAGUCCUGGUAUCCAAUCACAGUGGCCACAAAUUCUAGAGAGCAGAAGAAAAUAUUGGCCAAAUAUUUGUAGAAACUUCUGGUAACUUAGAUGGUCUGGAAUACAAGUUACAUGAUUUUGGCUACAGAGGAGUCUCUUCCCAAGAGACUGCUGGCAUAGGAGCUUCUGCUCAUUUAGUUAACUUCAAAGGAACAGAUACAGUAGCAGGAAUUGCACUAAUUAAAAAAUAUUAUGGAAC